GUGGGGAAUAUUGGACAAUGGGGGGAACCCUGAUCCAGCCAUGCCGCGUGUGUGAAGAAGGCCUUUUGGUUGUAAAGCACUUUAAGCGAGGAGGAGGCUACCGAGAUUAAUACUCUUGGAUAGUGGACGUUACUCGCAGAAUAAGCACCGGCUAACUCUGUGUCAGCAGCCGCGGUAAUACAGAGGGUGCAAGCGUUAAUCGGAUUUACUGGGCGUAAAGCGCGCGUAGGUGGCCAAUUAAGUCAAAUGUGAAAUCCCCGAGCUUAACUUGGGAAUUGCAUUCGAUACUGGUUGGCUAGAGUAUGGGAGAGGAUGGUAGAAUUCCAGGUGUAGCGGUGAAAUGCGUAGAGAUCUGGAGGAAUACCGAUGGCGAAGGCAGCCAUCUGGCCUAAUACUGACACUGAGGUGCGAAAGCAUGGGGAGCAAACAGGAUUAGAUACCCGUGUAGUCC
This 451-nucleotide ribosomal RNA is filed under the name uncultured bacterium. Its description in RNAcentral is "bacterial SSU rRNA". It matches the Rfam family "Bacterial small subunit ribosomal RNA", at positions 354 to 796 of the family's 1533-position model. The record is from RNAcentral.